UACGUAGGGUGCAAGCGUUAAUCGGAAUUACUGGGCGUAAAGCGCGCGUAGGUGGUUUGUUAAGUUGGAUGUGAAAUCCCCGGGCUCAACCUGGGAACUGCACUCAAAACUGUCGAGCUAGAGUAUGGUAGAGGGUGGUGGAAUUUCCUGUGUAGCGGUGAAAUGCGUAGAUAUAGGAAGGAACACCAGUGGCGAAGGCGACCACUUGGACUGAUACUGACACUGAGGUGCGAAAGCGUGGGGAGCAAACAGG
This 253-nucleotide ribosomal RNA is filed under the name uncultured bacterium. RNAcentral's name for it is "partial 16S ribosomal RNA". It matches the Rfam family "Bacterial small subunit ribosomal RNA", at positions 524 to 776 of the family's 1533-position model. The record is from RNAcentral.